UACAGAGGGUGCAAGCGUUAAUCGGAUUUACUGGGCGUAAAGGGCGCGUAGGCGGUUAUAUAAGUGAGAUGUGAAAUCCCUGGGCUUAACCUAGGAACUGCAUCUCAUACUGUAUGACUGGAGUAUUGUAGAGGGUAGUGGAAUUUCCGGUGUAGCGGUGAAAUGCGUAGAGAUCGGAAGGAACACCAGUGGCGAAGGCGGCUACCUGGACAAAUACUGACGCUGAGGCGCGAGAGCGUGGGGAGCAAACAGG
Molecule: ribosomal RNA, 253 nt
Filed under: uncultured bacterium
Lineage: Bacteria
Description: partial 16S ribosomal RNA
Rfam family: Bacterial small subunit ribosomal RNA
Source: RNAcentral